UCGUGCUAGACGGGGAGCUGGCGGUGCCCUGUACCCGCAAUCCGCCUUAGCGGGGUUGAAUUCCCUCUCGAGGUGCGGCUUUUCAGGACUGCGGCCGUGGCGGGGCGUUGAAACUCGGGUCCCGCACGGCGGGGAACUGCGAAUCGGGUCAGGACCGGAAGGUAGCAGCCCUAAGCAGAAUUCCUCGGGUGAUGCGGGGACGCCCGGGUGGAGCCAACGCGCGGUCGUAAGCUGGGGAGUCCGUAUCGACAGAGGGUGCACGG
Molecule: signal recognition particle RNA, 263 nt
Filed under: Chloroflexota bacterium
Lineage: Bacteria; Bacillati; Chloroflexota
Description: signal recognition particle sRNA large type
Rfam family: Bacterial large signal recognition particle RNA
About the family: The signal recognition particle (SRP) is a universally conserved ribonucleoprotein involved in the co-translational targeting of proteins to membranes. Archaeal SRP consists of a 7S RNA and homologues of the eukaryotic SRP19 and SRP54 proteins.
Source: RNAcentral